GGCCAGGUAGCUCAGUGGUAGAGCGAAGGAUUGCAGUCUUCAAUUGCAACAUAUCCUUAGGUCACGUGUUCGAUCCACGUUCGGGCCU
Molecule: transfer RNA, 88 nt
Filed under: Cephalotrichum gorgonifer
Lineage: Eukaryota; Fungi; Ascomycota; Sordariomycetes; Microascales; Microascaceae
Description: transfer RNA-Cys(GCA)
Rfam family: tRNA
About the family: Transfer RNA (tRNA) molecules are approximately 80 nucleotides in length. Their secondary structure includes four short double-helical elements and three loops (D, anti-codon, and T loops). Further hydrogen bonds mediate the characteristic L-shaped molecular structure. tRNAs have two regions of fundamental functional importance: the anti-codon, which is responsible for specific mRNA codon recognition, and the 3' end, to which the tRNAs corresponding amino acid is attached (by aminoacyl-tRNA synthetases). tRNAs cope with the degeneracy of the genetic code in two manners: having more than one tRNA (with a specific anti-codon) for a particular amino acid; and 'wobble' base-pairing, i.e. permitting non-standard base-pairing at the 3rd anti-codon position.
Source: RNAcentral